CUACCCUUGACAUGGAAGGAGUCCUUGAGAGAUCGAGGAGUGCCCGAAAGGGAACCUUUACACAGGUGCUGCAUGGCUGUCGUCAGCUCGUGUCGUGAGAUGUUGGGUUAAGUCCCGCAACGAGCGCAACCCUUGUCAUUAGUUGCUACGAAAGGGCACUCUAAUGAGACUGCCGGUGACAAACCGGAGGAAGGUGGGGAUGACGUCAAGUCCUCAUGGCCCUUAUGGGUAGGGCUUCACACGUCAUACAAUGGUACAUACAGAGGGCCGCCAACCCGCGAGGGGGAGCUAAUCCCAGAAAGUGUAUCGUAGUCCGGAUUGUAGUCUGCAACUCGACUACAUGAAGUUGGAAUCGCUAGUAAUCGCGGAUCAGCAUGUCGCGGUGAAUACGUUCCCGGGUCUUGUACACACCGCCCGUCACACCAUGGGAGCGGGUUUUACCAGAAGUAGGUAGCUUAACCGCAAGGAGGGCGCUUACCACGGUAGGAUUCGUGACUGGGGUG
RNAcentral lists this ribosomal RNA (503 nucleotides) under uncultured bacterium. Its description in RNAcentral is "bacterial SSU rRNA". It matches the Rfam family "Bacterial small subunit ribosomal RNA", at positions 975 to 1482 of the family's 1533-position model. The record is from RNAcentral.